Molecule: transfer RNA, 66 nt
Filed under: Hiratettix distanti
Lineage: Eukaryota; Metazoa; Arthropoda; Insecta; Hemiptera; Cicadellidae
Also listed under: 2 other names
Description: tRNA-Thr
Source: RNAcentral
GUUUUAAUAAUUUAAAAAAAAUAAUGAUUUUGUAAAUCAAUAUUAAGGAAAUUACCUUUUAAAAUA